Molecule: unclassified non-coding RNA, 149 nt
Filed under: soil metagenome
Description: partial internal transcribed spacer 1
Source: RNAcentral
CCGAGUUAUACAACUCAUCAACCCUGUGAACAUACCUAAAACGUUGCUUCGGCGGGAACAGACGGCCCUGUAACAACGGGCCGCCCCCGCCAGAGGACCCCUAACUCUAUUUUUAUAAUGUUUUUCUGAGUAAACAAGCAAAUAAAUUA